GACGAACGCUGGCGGCGUGCUUAACACAUGCAAGUCGAGCGGUAAGGCCCUUCGGGGUACACGAGCGGCGAACGGGUGAGUAACACGUGGGUGAUCUGCCUCGCACUCUGGGAUAAGCCUGGGAAACUGGGUCUAAUACCGGAUAUGACCUUACAUCGCAUGGUGUUUGGUGGAAAGAUUUAUCGGUGCGAGAUGGGCCCGCGGCCUAUCAGCUUGUUGGUGGGGUAAUGGCCUACCAAGGCGACGACGGGUAGCCGGCCUGAGAGGGCGACCGGCCACACUGGGACUGAGACACGGCCCAGACUCCUACGGGAGGCAGCAGUGGGGAAUAUUGCACAAUGGGCGAAAGCCUGAUGCAGCGACGCCGCGUGAGGGAUGACGGCCUUCGGGUUGUAAACCUCUUUCGACAGGGACGAAGCGCAAGUGACGGUACCUGUAGAAGAAGCACCGGCCAACUACGUGCCAGCAG
RNAcentral lists this ribosomal RNA (469 nucleotides) under Nocardia cyriacigeorgica. RNAcentral's name for it is "bacterial SSU rRNA". It matches the Rfam family "Bacterial small subunit ribosomal RNA", at positions 28 to 514 of the family's 1533-position model. The record is from RNAcentral. Lineage: Bacteria; Bacillati; Actinomycetota; Actinomycetes; Mycobacteriales; Nocardiaceae.